Molecule: ribosomal RNA, 259 nt
Filed under: uncultured prokaryote
Description: partial 16S ribosomal RNA
Rfam family: Bacterial small subunit ribosomal RNA
Source: RNAcentral
CACGGGGGUUGCGAGCGUUAUCCGGAUUUAUUGGGUUUAAAGGGUGCGUAGGCUGGUAAUUAAGUCAGUGGUGAAAUACUCCGGCUCAACCGGGGGGCUGCCGUUGAUACUGGUUACCUUGAGUUUAGAUGAUGUGGGCGGAAUGUGUCAUGUAGCGGUGAAAUGCAUAGAGAUGACACAGAACACCGAUAGCGAAGGCAGCUCACAAAGCUAUUACUGACGCUGAUGCACGAAAGUGUGGGGAUCAAACAGGAUUAGA